CUUGACCUCAAAUCGGGUGAGACUACCCGCUGAACUUAAGCAUAUCAAUAAGCGGAGGAAAAGAAACUAACAAGGAUUCCCCUAGUAACUGCGAGUGAAGCGGGAAAAGCUCAAAUUUAAAAUCUGGUGGCCUUUGGUCAUCCGAGUUGUAAUUUAGAGAAGCGUCUUCCGCGCUGAACCGUGCACAAGUCUCCUGGAAUGGAGCGUCAUAGAGGGUGAGAAUCCCGUCUUUGGCACGGAACAUCAGGGCUUCUGUGAUGCGCUCUCGACGAGUCGAGUUGUUUGGGAAUGCAGCUCAAAAUGGGUGGUGAACUCCAUCUAAAGCUAAAUAUUGGCGAGAGACCGAUAGCGAACAAGUACCGUGAGGGAAAGAUGAAAAGCACUUUGGAAAGAGAGUGAAACAGUACGUGAAAUUGUUGAAAGGGAAACGCUUGAAGUCAGUCGCGUCGACCGAGACUCAGCCUUGCCUCGGCUUGGUGUACUUCUCGGCUUGACGGGUCAGCAUCAAUUUUGAUCCUCGGAUAAUGGCAAGGGAAAGGUAGCACCUUUUUAGGUGUGUUAUAGUCCUUUGUCGCAUACGGGGGUUGGGAUUGAGGAACUCAGCACGCACCUUUAGGUGUCGGGGCCUNGGCCCACGAUACGUGCUUAGGAUGCUGGCGUAAUGGCUUUAAACGACCCGUCUUGAAACACGGACCAAGGAGUCUAACAUACCCGCGAGUGUUCGGGUGGAAAACCCGUGCGCGUAAUGAAAGUGAAAGUUGGGACCUCUGUCGUGGAGGGCACCGACGCCCGGACCAGACCUUCUGUGACGGCUCUGCGGUAGAGCGUGUAUGUUGGGACCCGAAAGAUGGUGAACUAUGCCUGAAUAGGGUGAAGCCAGAGGAAACUCUGGUGGAGGCUCGUAGCGAUUCUGACGUGCAAAUCGAUCGUCAAAUUUGGGUAUAGGGGCGAAAGACUAAUCGAACCAUC
Molecule: ribosomal RNA, 969 nt
Filed under: Russula nitida
Lineage: Eukaryota; Fungi; Basidiomycota; Agaricomycetes; Russulales; Russulaceae
Description: LSU rRNA
Rfam family: Eukaryotic large subunit ribosomal RNA
Source: RNAcentral